This 483-nucleotide ribosomal RNA is filed under the name uncultured bacterium. RNAcentral's name for it is "bacterial SSU rRNA". It matches the Rfam family "Bacterial small subunit ribosomal RNA", at positions 28 to 512 of the family's 1533-position model. The record is from RNAcentral.
GAUGAACGCUGGCGGCGUGCUUAACACAUGCAAGUCGAACGGGAAUUACUUUAUUGAAGCUUCGGUCGAUUUAAUUUAAUUCUAGUGGCGGACGGGUGAGUAACGCGUGGGUAACCUGCCUUGUACAGGGGGAUAACAGUCAGAAAUGGCUGCUAAUACCGCAUAAGCGCACAGAGCUGCAUGGCUCAGUGUGAAAAACUCCGGUGGUAUAAGAUGGACCCGCGUUGGAUUAGCUAGUUGGUGGGGUAACGGCCCACCAAGGCGACGAUCCAUAGCCGGCCUGAGAGGGUGAACGGCCACAUUGGGACUGAGACACGGCCCAGACUCCUACGGGAGGCAGCAGUGGGGAAUAUUGCACAAUGGGGGAAACCCUGAUGCAGCGACGCCGCGUGAAGGAAGAAGUAUCUCGGUAUGUAAACUUCUAUCAGCAGGGAAGAUAGUGACGGUACCUGACUAAGAAGCCCCGGCUAACUACGUGCCAGC